This 2336-nucleotide long non-coding RNA is filed under the name Homo sapiens (human). RNAcentral's name for it is "HSALNT0397054". Lineage: Eukaryota; Metazoa; Chordata; Mammalia; Primates; Hominidae. The record is from RNAcentral.
GCCCGUUCCAAUGGCAACUCUGCCAAGGCGCCUAUGAGAGCCUCUUGGCUUUUACCUGGUCUGCGAGAAAUCAAACUUUGGGCACAAGUCAUGAAGCCGACAAGCCCGGGAGACACAGUGUCAGAAUUACAAGGUGAGAUCAGCCGCCCGGCCAAGCUAUCUUCUCGCUAGCAGGAACACUACAAGGCCUGUUAGAGAAGAAAGGGUAGAAUCCCGAGAAUGUUUUCCCCACAGUGCUGAUAAGGAGAGACCACUAUCCCAUCUACUGCUACAGCUCUGGAGACAGAGCUCUCCCACCUGUCAUAUAGAACACAAGGACCAAUCUGCAGAGAAAGAGCAUCCAAACCUGAUCCAGUGGACACUGGGGAAAAACUCACCACAGCUGAGUGUGGAAAAACAAGGCCAACACACACAUCUCUGCACAGAUACAUCUCCCAUAAAGAAACUAAAGUGUUAAUUUACAGGGCACUGUUGCAGACCCACUUCAGCUGGAAGCUAGGAACAUGGACAAGGAGCCUCUCUACCACCAAGGGAGAGAGAGGAAUGUGCUCUUGUCCUGGCAUUGCAUCCACAGGAGGGGCAGGAAAUUCUUUGAAGCUGUCAUCAGACUUACAGCCAACACCUUCCUUCUCUUCCACAUCUUCACAACCCUUCUGGAUCACAAGCCUAAGUCCACUGACCACAUCACCUGUCACCUGGACCUUGCACACUUAGUGAUGCUCCUCAUUGCGGUCUUCUUGGCAUCUCCAGACCUGUUUAAGUAACUACAUUUGCAGAAUAACUUAAAGUGCAAGGCAUUUUUCUACAUGUACAGGGUGAUGAGGAGCCUCUCCAGCUCCAUCACCUUUCUCCUGACUGUGCUCCAGGUCAUCACCAUCAGCCCCAGCACCUCCUGGUUGGUGAAGACUAAACAGAAAUUCACAGGUUACAUUUUCUACUCCUGUUUCUUCCUAUGGGUUCUCAGUUUGUCUCUCAGUAGUAACCUGCUUUCCCCCACUGUGGCUUCUUCUAAAGUGACCAAGACUGAUGUGCUAAGUAUCAGUAAAUACUGCUCACUUUCUUACAUAAGCUACAUCUUCUAAUAUGACAAAGACUGAUGUGCUAAGUUGUGCUUUAUUUCUUGUCAUUCUAUUAUUCCUAUACAUAUAAUUACAUUCAUAUUGCUAUUAUUUUCUCUUUUUUAUAUGGUUGUAUUCAUUCUGCUGAAAACUCCAGUUCACUAAUCCAGUUCACUAAUUCUGUCGUCAACUCAGUCUAAUUUUAUAUUUAACUCACAUAUUGUAUAUUAAAUUUAUUUACUUUUAAAUUAUUCCACUUAUAUUUGUCUCUUUUCCAAAUUUGCUUGUUCAGUUUAUAGUUCCCUGCUGUUUCAAAAUUAUUUCGAUAUCCUCUUUUCCCCACUUGUUUUGACUUAAAGAUUUAAAAUAUAUAUCCGGCCAAGCACAGUGGCUCAUGCCUGUAAUCCCAAUACUUUGGGAGGCCGAGGCAGGCAGAUCACUUGAUGUCAGGAGUUUGAGACUAGCCUGGCCAACAUGGUGAAACUUUGUCUGCAGUAAAAAUACAAAAAUUUAGAUGGGCGUCGUGGUGGGCGCCUGUAGUCUUAGCUACUCGGGAGGCUGAGGCAGGAGAAUCACUUGAACUCGGGAGGUGGAGGUUGCAGUGAGCUGAGAUCACGCCAAUGCACUCCAGCCUGGGCAACAGACUGAGACUAUCUCAAAAAAAUAAUAUAGGUAUUUCCAAUAUGCCAAGUUUAUGCAGUGUCUAAUUUCUUCUUACCCCUUUUCCUGGUACCUCAUUUUCUUCUGUGCUUCAUACUUUUAAUGAAUUAAUUUUUGCAACAGGAUCUGGUUUAUUCUGCCUUGGCAGGGUGGUCCUGAGAGUGGCAGGUGCCACCCUCUUCUGGGCAAAGGGAGGUCCAGAAGGCCAGUUAGGGCCAAUGGUGGGAGAACCUGGGGGUGGAGUGGGGUUGGGGAUUUGGGCUACAGCCCCUGGAAUGUGGUGAAACCAGGAUGAGGCCCAGAGGCAGCUGUGGUAGGCCAGGGCAGGGCGGAAGGCACUGGACUGGAACCAGGCAAGGUCUACAGGGCCAAGAUCCCAGGCCACACGGGCACCCUGGGAGGCGGAGCACAGUGUCCCAUGACACAGAGCAUGAAACACAGGCCCAGGGCUCACAGUAAGCACAUGAACAAGUGGACACAGAUUCACAGGCCAGUUGACAUCCAGCCAUGGUGGGACCAGAGGUAGACACGGUGUCACAUACAGACCACAGGGAAGACAUGGCACAAUGGGACAGAUGGAUGUGAUGGCCACAAUGCACAGACCAGGCCACAGAGCUC